CUGUUUUGGCAACAUGUAUAGAAAAAUUGGAAUGAUACUGAGAAGACUAACAUGGCUUCUGUGCCAGGAUAACACACCAAUUUGUGAAGCAUUCCAUAAUUUU
Non-coding RNA from Erinaceus europaeus (western European hedgehog), 103 nucleotides. The record is from Rfam. Lineage: Eukaryota; Metazoa; Chordata; Mammalia; Eulipotyphla; Erinaceidae.